Molecule: long non-coding RNA, 729 nt
Filed under: Theobroma cacao (cacao)
Lineage: Eukaryota; Viridiplantae; Streptophyta; Magnoliopsida; Malvales; Malvaceae
Description: long non-coding RNA (TCAC_LNC005481)
Source: RNAcentral
UACCAAAUGUCAAUAUCCAAUUCUCAUAAACGUAAUGAUCACACUUAAUACACAUUACACAACCUCCAAGUUUUUAACAAAUACACAUCCGAAAGACUAAUAAUAAUUAUAAGUCUGACUAUUUGACACAACACAACCCCUAUGUAGUGGAGCAACUCAGAGUGAAAGUCUAGCGAUGCCAUUACCUACGUUGCAGCAAGUCUUGAUGUGCUGAGCGAAAGACUUGAGCUGACUACUUAUCUGCAAAAUGGAGAUAAAGGGGGUGAGUCUCAUAGACUCAGUGAUCAUCAACUCCAUGAGCAGGGCAUAGACCGAAAACAAGCUAGGGGCAAAAGUUUUGAAUGUUAAAACAUAAAAGUAUGAAUAAACCAAUUAAAAUAAAAUGAAGCAUUUGUGCCUUAUUUGUAAAACUAGGAAUUUUAGUGCAACGUAACCAUUUAAAAAUAAUUGUAUCCAAACCCGUAUAAGUAUAAGAUUUCCUAUCUUUGCAAUCAUUCAACAACUUUACUCAAAUCAAUCCAAAAUAAACACGCAUGCUCCCAUGAAAUCAAGUAUUAUCAAGCUUAUAAAUCCAUAAAUCACCUAGUAUGUGGGGUUAAAUCCAACAUCAUAGUAUAAAUAGGGAAGUUGUGGAAAAUCUCGUAGUUCUUACCAUGCGAAAGAAUACGUAUUAAAAAUCCAAAGAGAUAUCACUCUCAAGUAGGUAAUAGAAAUAAAGAACUCAUGGAC